CACACAGGAAUUGGCACAAAGAGACUGUUAAAGGGGCCCAGCUCCCAAAAAUUCCACAGGGAUUCAUCCCAUUUGUGCUGGAGCUGGAAUCCUGGGUUUAAGCUGGCAGGGAAGGCAACUCUGUCAAUGCCUCCUUCAGCUGCAGCACCAGGAUGGCCGAGCACAGGGAGCAGCUGAGGGGGGUCUGAGUGGAGAAUUUGGGGCUCUUUCCUGGUUGGAACAGCUCAGCCUCUUUGGGAAGAAGAGGUGGGAAUGCUGCCCCUUUCCAGGAUGAAGCGAGCAACAGGGGUGAAUUGCCUCUCUUGGUGCUGCACGGGGAUUUCACCAGCCUGAGAAGCGCUGGGAUGGAGGAGAUUUGGGGACCCUUGGAGCUGGUUCUGAGCCAGCUGUGUCCCACAGGGAACUCGUGCUGUGCUUGGGGCUCCCUUCACCUCCUCCAGCACCGUGGUCUCCAGCUGAUCCCGGGCAGGAAGUUCUGGGAUGGUGCUCAGUGCCUGAAGGGAGCGGGGAGGACGAGCUGCAGACCCAGGAUCCAUCUCUGAUCGCUGCUGUGCACAAACCAUGGAAUUGCUCAGCCCGGGAGUCGAGGAAGGAGUCAGGAUUCCUCAGCUGUGCUUUUCAAGCUAUUUUCCAAUACCCAUCACCUACGUUAGACAGUGUGUUCCUACCCUAAACCAAUCCAAAAGUGCCACCAUCACACAGAAGAUGGAGGCUGGGAAGAAGGAGAAAGAAGGACAAGGCACGCCCAAAUUCCUCCAUCUUGGCUUCUGAACCCCUAUUCAAAAAAACCCUAAAAACCCUAAACCCCCCCCAAAAAAACCCUAGAAAACUCCACCCUCCCCCAAAAAAAACCCUAAAAACUCCCCCCAAAAAACCCUAAAAACCCCAAAAUUCUACUUUUCACCCUGUGAUAAACUAUCAUUCUACUUAAA
Molecule: long non-coding RNA, 932 nt
Organism: Melospiza melodia melodia
Lineage: Eukaryota; Metazoa; Chordata; Aves; Passeriformes; Passerellidae
Exons: 6
Source: RefSeq, a predicted model, not a curated record